UACCAAGGAGGCCAGAAUGCAGUUUUAAAU
RNAcentral lists this non-coding RNA (30 nucleotides) under Rattus norvegicus (Norway rat). Lineage: Eukaryota; Metazoa; Chordata; Mammalia; Rodentia; Muridae. The record is from RNAcentral.